Molecule: long non-coding RNA, 401 nt
Organism: Ovis aries (sheep)
Lineage: Eukaryota; Metazoa; Chordata; Mammalia; Artiodactyla; Bovidae
Source: Ensembl
CUCCCGUUGCGAGUUCCGAUCCAGUGUCGCUGGAGUUCCACCACCCGCCCCCAGGCCACAGCCUCACGCAUGCGUCCAGGAAGAUCCAAGUGUUGUGACUCCAGAUUUUGCAGACGGGAUGAGAGCAGAGUGGAGACAGCCAUUGGAGGCAGGGAUCCUGUUGGUCUGUGGCCAGCUGGACCCUCAGUGUCUGGGCACGGGAUGUGGGGAGACUGCAGAGGAAAAGCAAGUGUUCCAGCCCCAUCUGCCACUGUCGAAGAAUGGAUGGUUUUGAACUGUGGUGUUGGGAGCUCUUGAGAGCCCUUUGGACUGCAAGGAGAUCCAACCAGUCCAUCCUAAAGGAAAUCAGUCCUGAAUAUUCAUUGGAAGGACUGAUGCGGAAGCUGAAACUCCAAUACUUU